UUGCAAAGUGGGAAUUGAAAG
RNAcentral lists this non-coding RNA (21 nucleotides) under Caenorhabditis elegans. Lineage: Eukaryota; Metazoa; Nematoda; Chromadorea; Rhabditida; Rhabditidae. The record is from RNAcentral.